This 319-nucleotide ribosomal RNA is filed under the name uncultured bacterium. RNAcentral's name for it is "bacterial SSU rRNA". It matches the Rfam family "Bacterial small subunit ribosomal RNA", at positions 28 to 334 of the family's 1533-position model. The record is from RNAcentral.
GAUGAACGCUAGCGAUAGGCCUUACACAUGCAAGUCGAGGGGCAGCACAAAGAAAGUAGCAAUACUUUUUUGGUGGCGACCGGCGCACGGGUGAGUAACGCGUAUGCAACCUACCUACUACUUUGGGAUAGCUCGUUGAAAGACGAAUUAAUACCUUAUAAUACAGGGACUCCGCAUGGAGAUAUUUGUUAAAAGAUUUAUUGGUAGUAGAUGGGCAUGCGUUCCAUUAGCUUGUUGGUGAGGUAACUGCUCACCAAGGCAUCGAUGGAUAGGGGAACUGAGAGGUUUGUCCCCACACUGGAACUGAGACACGGUCCAG